CCUACGGGUGGCUGCAGUGGGGAAUAUUGGACAAUGGGGGGAACCCUGAUGCAGCGACGCCGCGUGAGUGAAGCAGUAUUUCGGUAUGUAAAGCCCUAUCAGCAGGGAAGAAAAUGACGGUACCUGCCUAAGAAGCCCCGGCUAACUACGUGCCAGCAGCCGCGGUAAUACGUAGGGGGCAAGCGUUAUCCGGAUUUACUGGGUGUAAAGGGGGCGUAGACGGCGCAGCAAGUCAGAUGUGAAAGGCCGGGGCCCAACCCCGGGACUGCAUUUGAAACUGUUUAACUGGAGUACAGGAGAGGUAAGCGGAAUUCCUAGUGUAGCGGUGAAAUGCGUAGAUAUUAGGAGGAACACCAGUGGCGAAGGCGGCUUACUGGACUGUAACUGACGUUGAGGCUCGAAAGCGUGGGGAGCAAACAGGAUUAGAUACCCCUGUAGUC
RNAcentral lists this ribosomal RNA (440 nucleotides) under uncultured bacterium. RNAcentral's name for it is "partial 16S ribosomal RNA". It matches the Rfam family "Bacterial small subunit ribosomal RNA", at positions 338 to 795 of the family's 1533-position model. The record is from RNAcentral.